GUGAGGAAUAUUGCGCAAUGGAGGCAACUCUGACGCAGCCAUGCUGCGUGCAGGAAGAAGGCGCUACGCGUUGUAAACUGCUUUUAACCGGGAAGAAACCCCAGGACGUGUCCUGGGUUGACGGUACCGGAGGAAUAAGCACCGGCUAACUUCGUGCCAGCAGCCGCGGUAAUACGAAGGGUGCAAGCGUUAUCCGGAUUCAUUGGGUUUAAAGGGUGCGUAGGCGGAGCGUUAAGUCAGUGGUGAAAUCCUGCAGCUUAACUGUAGACUUGCCAUUGAUACUGGCGCUCUUGAGUGCGCUUGAAGUGGGCGGAAUGUGCCGUGUAGCGGUGAAAUGCUUAGAUAUGGCACAGAACACCAAUUGCGAAGGCAGCUCACUAAGGCGAUACUGACGCUGAGGCACGAAAGCGUGGGGAUCGAACAGGAUUAGAUACCCCUGUAGUCC
This 445-nucleotide ribosomal RNA is filed under the name uncultured bacterium. Its description in RNAcentral is "partial 16S ribosomal RNA". It matches the Rfam family "Bacterial small subunit ribosomal RNA", at positions 354 to 796 of the family's 1533-position model. The record is from RNAcentral.